CAGGUUUCAAAACACGAAAAAAGUAGCAGCCUAUAGUCCGGAAAUGUAUUUUUUUAUACAUUAUACAUUUUACAAGCAGGUGGUUACACGUCCACACGAGUGGACAAUGCAAACGCCGAACUCAUAAAGAGGUAAAGAAGCUGGAGUUCUAAAAAGUGACUGACCUUCCACCUGCAUCUCCUGGGAGACCUUGGUGACAUCAUCCUGUGAGCGUCCGUCCGUCAGCACCACCAAAACAUUGGGGAUCCCUCUCCGGACUCCACCCUCAACUGUGAAGAUCUUUUCCUUCACGUGCCGAAUUGCCGCUCCUAUUUUGGAUCAGAACACAGCUACUGAGGAGAUCCGAGUGAUUGCGUCGAGCAGCUGCUGUUUAUCGCUGUAGGAAUUCAACUUGAACUCAGUGCGAGCGUCGUCACUGAACUGAGCCAUCGCCACCUGUCAAGCACAGAACCAUCGGAUCAGAGGACUCGUGGCUGAAACGUCCACUUUACACUAAAGAAACAGUCGCACAAAGACUGAGAAAAUAAAAAGAAAUGCGAUGUGCUGACCUGAGUUCCACCCGGGCCGAUUUGGUCCAGUGCGCCGGUGGUGCUGUACAGGAAGUUGAUGAUCUUCAGGAAGUUGUCGUCUCCGAUGCUCCAGGACCCAUCGACCAGGAACACCAGGUCCGCUUUCGCUGCUCUACACACUGCACACAGAACAAAGUCAUCAGAGUCCACUUCAUCUCAAGGUCAUCACCUCACCUUCAGACACAGUGUGACCUCUAAACACAGA
Molecule: long non-coding RNA, 774 nt
Organism: Synchiropus splendidus (mandarinfish)
Lineage: Eukaryota; Metazoa; Chordata; Actinopteri; Syngnathiformes; Callionymidae
Exons: 3
Source: RefSeq, a predicted model, not a curated record